GAAUGCUGACAUAAGUAACGAUAAAGCGGGUGAAAAGCCCGCUCGCCGGAAGACCAAGGGUUCCUGUCCAACGUUAAUCGGGGCAGGGUGAGUCGACCCCUAAGGCGAGGCCGAAAGGCGUAGUCGAUGGGAAACGGGUUAAUAUUCCCGUACUUGGUGUUACUGCGAAGGGGGGACGGAGAAGGCUAUGUUGGCCGGGCGACGGUUGUCCCGGUUUAAGCGUGUAGGUGUGUGUUCCAGGUAAAUCCGGUUCACUUUAACACUGAGGCGUGACGACGAGGCACUACGGUGCUGAAGCAACAAAUGCCCUGCUUCCAGGAAAAGCCUCUAAGCAUCAGGUAACAUCAAAUCGUACCCCAAACCGACACAGGUGGUCAGGUAGAGAAUACCAAGGCGCUUGAGAGAACUCGGGUGAAGGAACUAGGCAAAAUGGUGCCGUAACUUCGGGAGAAGGCACGCUGACACGUAGGUGAAGUGAUUUACUCAUGGAGCUGAAGUCAGUCGAAGAUACCAGCUGGCUGCAACUGUUUAUUAAAAACACAGCACUGUGCAAACACGAAAGUGGACGUAUACGGUGUGACGCCUGCCCGGUGCCGGAAGGUUAAUUGAUGGGGUCAGCGCAAGCGAAGCUCCUGAUCGAAGCCCCGGUAAACGGCGGCCGUAACUAUAACGGUCCUAAGGUAGCGAAAUUCCUUGUCGGGUAAGUUCCGACCUGCACGAAUGGCGUAAUGAUGGCCAGGCUGUCUCCACCCGAGACUCAGUGAAAUUGAACUCGCUGUGAAGAUGCAGUGUACCCGCGGCAAGACGGAAAGACCCCGUGAACCUUUACUAUAGCUUGACACUGAACAUUGAGCCUUGAUGUGUAGGAUAGGUGGGAGGCUUUGAAGUGUGGACGCCAGUCUGCAUGGAGCCGACCUUGAAAUACCACCCUUUAAUGUUUGAUGUUCUAACGUGGACCCGUAAUCCGGGUUGCGGACAGUGUCUGGUGGGUAGUUUGACUGGGGCGGUCUCCUCCUAAAGAGUAACGGAGGAGCACGAAGGUUGGCUAAUCCUGGUCGGACAUCAGGAGGUUAGUGCAAUGGCAUAAGCCAGCUUGACUGCGAGCGUGACGGCGCGAGCAGGUGCGAAAGCAGGUCAUAGUGAUCCGGUGGUUCUGAAUGGAAGGGCCAUCGCUCAACGGAUAAAAGGUACUCCGGGGAUAACAGGCUGAUACCGCCCAAGAGUUCAUAUCGACGGCGGUGUUUGGCACCUCGAUGUCGGCUCAUCACAUCCUGGGGCUGAAGUAGGUCCCAAGGGUAUGGCUGUUCGCCAUUUAAAGUGGUACGCGAGCUGGGUUUAGAACGUCGUGAGACAGUUCGGUCCCUAUCUGCCGUGGGCGCUGGAGAACUGAGGGGGGCUGCUCCUAGUACGAGAGGACCGGAGUGGACGCAUCACUGGUGUUCGGGUUGUCAUGCCAAUGGCACUGCCCGGUAGCUACAUGCGGAAGAGAUAAGUGCUGAAAGCAUCUAAGCACGAAACUUGCCCCGAGAUGAGUUCUCCCUGAGACUUUAGGUCUCCUGAAGGAACGUUGAAGACGACGACGUUGAUAGGCCGGGUGUGUAAGCGCAGCGAUGCGUUG
This 1618-nucleotide ribosomal RNA is filed under the name Salmonella enterica subsp. enterica serovar Stanley. RNAcentral's name for it is "partial 23S ribosomal RNA". It matches the Rfam family "Bacterial large subunit ribosomal RNA", at positions 1292 to 2888 of the family's 2925-position model. The record is from RNAcentral. Lineage: Bacteria; Pseudomonadati; Pseudomonadota; Gammaproteobacteria; Enterobacterales; Enterobacteriaceae.